UUCUCGAACCCUCUCUAGCUCCCUCCCUCUCUCAAAUUGAAAUUCACAAUAACAACACGAUCUACACUAAUUCCUGAAACGGUGAUGGCAUCGUUGCAGCGCCUGGUUCUGCCAAAGGCUCAAUCUUCGCUUUCCUUGGCUAGAAGUCGAGGUUUCGUCACCUGUAAUGGCUUCAUUGUUCCUCGACGUCCACUCAUGUACCGCCAAAUUUCUCAGUCCAUUAAAGAUUCAAAAGUUAAAAGUGUUGAGAAACGAUUGAACCACUCGAUCGACGGAUCAAUAUCGGCAAUAGAGCAGCUUCGAAUCUCGGCAGGCAAUCAGAAUGAGAUGUUAUUUCGAAUUGUCAUAGAGGUAUAUAUAGCUUUCUCCUUUUAAC
Non-coding RNA from Camelina sativa (false flax), 376 nucleotides. The record is from RefSeq and is a predicted model, not a curated record. NCBI's taxonomy places the organism in Eukaryota, Viridiplantae, Streptophyta, Magnoliopsida, Brassicales, Brassicaceae.